RNAcentral lists this long non-coding RNA (1010 nucleotides) under Elaeis guineensis (African oil palm). Its description in RNAcentral is "long non-coding RNA (EGUI_LNC011187)". Lineage: Eukaryota; Viridiplantae; Streptophyta; Magnoliopsida; Arecales; Arecaceae. The record is from RNAcentral.
UUGUCCUCCAUCAAGUAGAGAUUUUCCAUUCACGUUGAGGGUUUGUUGAGAUUUCAUGCCCAUGUUAGUCGACGGUCACUUUAUCUCUUCUGCAAUGUGGCAACCUGCAGAUUGUAUGGUGAAUGCUCUUGUCGAGAGAAAUGAUCUCAAUGUUGGUUUCUCCCUUGCAUGUUUGAAUUUUGAUCAGGCCAUACCUGAGUUUAACAGAGCCUUCUUUAUGUUCAUAUUUAAGUAACAAAAUAUAAUUGUGUAACAAAACAUCAUUGUACAGACUUGCAAUCCUCUAGGAAUUUCUUGGUAAGUAGGGGUUUUAUUUGUUUACAAUGGAUAUAUUAUAUGAAGGAACGGAAACCUCAGGAUGCUUCAAGCUAAUUUUUCUAGCAGGCGGAAAGGCUUAGUAGUUAUGUUAUGUUUAUGCACACACGCAGACAGAAGAAUGAGGAUGAAAGAUUAAAGACACACUAUCAUUCUAGGUUAACAUUAUUUGGUGAACUAAAAGUGUUUUUUUCCUUCAUUGUUGCCUGGUCAUCUUACAUUCAUGAACACGUCUGAGUUGAAAUUAGCACGUUUGAGGGGCCUGAAUGAUGUAUUACAAACAGUAUGCAAGCUUCAGAUGGAUGUCUGGCAAAUCAACCCAUUUGUUAGUGUGUAACACAUGAAAAGAUGAAAAGCUGUACCAUUAGAGGAUCUUUUGAUGGGGAACUGGUUAGGUUAUUAUGAUCAUCUGUAAUGUGUGAUGGAGGUUUUCUUGAUUUGAAGGAUUGAAGAAAAUUGAAACAAAAUAGGAAGAGGUUAGCAAUACAAGAUUGGGAAAAAGGUAAGGCAGGACUUGGAUAGCCUGGAUGGAAGAAUUUUUGGCCCUUGAGAUGGAUGGGAUGAUAAAGAAGGCAUCUCUCUUAAAAUUAUCUCUCAUGGUUUCGGGCUGUUUACUUGGAUAUAUGCAUGGAGGCCCGUGCACAUAACUUAAGUUCGCCAGCUUGUCAGGUCUGUAUCUUGUAUAUUCCGCAGCA